AGAUGGGCUCGGGGGUCCCUGGCUGAACCUUGAGCCGCGGGUCCGUCCCACGUUCCCUGCGCUUCUGCAAUCUGACAACUAGAUCCUGGGCCUGCCUGAAAUCUGCUAUUUACCUGUCCAGCAAAAAAAGUAAAAAACAAAAACCUCUGCCCAAGCUGACCCAGCUCCUUUCCCAAAUGCUGCCCCCCCUCCACCCCCGUGUCCCAUCAGCACAGCCGGAGUGUGGCGUGCGGCACGCAGCCUUCAGUGCGGAGACAACUUCCCCUCCUAGGAGCCCUUGAAGGUAAUGAGCUGAUGGAAGGUGCCAGGCAGGUGGUACCACUCUGCCUCCUCCUUCAGGCCCCCUUCCCCACCCCGACCCCAUCUUCUCAGCACAUGAUUCCAGGGACAAACUAUGGAGCCAAAAAAAAAAAAAAAAAAAAUUGGUGGAGGGAUAGUAGGAGGCUAGAGAAACACUGACCCAAGUCCAGCAGCUCCUUGGACACUCCGGCUGCUGCUCCCCCAAAAUUGAUGGCCCACAUGCUGCUCCCCAAACCUAGAAACUACAGGGCCUGAGAUGAAGGAAGAUUUGGAAUGACUGGCUUCCCUGGAGUUAAUGAAGGGGACCUCAGGCAGUGGCCAGCCCACAUUAGCGCCCUCCCCAAGCACCCCAUCCCCAACCCCUCCUCAGCCUAAGCCCCAGAGCUGAGGGGUCAGAAGCCCUAGGGAAAGACCCCAGUGGGAGAAGCCAGCCUCUGCGUGUGCUCUCACCCCGUCCUCUGAGUCGCCCUGGCAAGUAGGAUGGAUAAAGGGCUGCCAGCCCCUAGGACCCAGCUCUCAAGUAGAGGGAUGCCAGUGGAGUCCUUGUUAGACCACAGAUAACCUAGAAGGCCACCUGCUCUGGAGUUAGCUCCGUCUUUCUUUACUGAAGAAACGUGGCUGAGGCUAAGAGGGAAGAAAGGAAGGUCCAGGAGAGUGUCGUAAGUGGAGCCUCAGAAACCACAGGUGGAUUGGCUUCUGCUCCGUGGGGUCUUGCGGACCCAUCUGGGUCUUUGCGGCCGUCUAGGUGCUUAGUGCCUAUUUGGUGAUGUUUUGGCCAUUUCUAAGGGAAGGGGUGAGCCAGCUGAUGGGUGGGAGGGUCUGAGGCUUGAUGCCAGUGAAUACUGUCAAGUGGAGCAUGUGGUUUGUGGGGUUCAGAGGGAAGGAAGGGUGGGGCCAAACGGACGGUUGUCUCCUGGACUGGAUUUGCGUUCUGGCCUUACUGGCGGUGGGUGGCCGGCAGGCUGUGGUGGCCAGCUGGCCUUGUCCUCCUCACCCUGGCAGGUUCAACCCGCCCAAACACCAGAUUGUUGGAUGGAAGGAAGGGAAGGUGAGAUGAGCCCAGCCGCUGACAGGCGGAUUUUCCCGUGACCAGAGCUUUGGAAUUGCAGACACUCAUUUUUGAACAAGCUUGUGCUGGAGGAUUUGGGUUGUGCGAGUGCGUGUGUGUGAGGGGAGCAGACUUUCUUGGAAACUGGAGGAAGGAGAUGAGGAGGCUUAAGGAACUAUUGCUGAUGGGCUGUGGUUGAUGAAACGAGGGGCGUCGACCGGCUGGCCCCGGCUUUCGGCCUGGGGACUCUGGUGCUGGGGGCAGGAUGGGAUGCGGGGAGGGCUCUUGCUGGCCUGAUGAGUAGCUGCUGGGACAGAACGCAGAGAGAAGAGGGAAACUAGGUGUCCUGGGGCAGCCGAGAGGCACUUGUCAACGCCAGCCCAAGCGACGCUGCCAUGAGCAUUCCGGCCCCUGGCCCCGUACGCGCUUCUCUCCCGGGCUUUGUCUUCUCUUUCCGGUGUGUCUUAGAGAUUUCAGGUGGGGGAGCCUCAGCAUGGAGCAGGCCAGAGCUGUCCUUACCAAAUUGGAAAGGAAAGUGCAAGUGUUCCUUUCUUUAGCCAAAGAACCCUUCUAGGAGACACCCCCACGUGCGGACAGAACGGCUUCCUUUCUGGGCAAUAAUGACUUCAUCAGUGAGUGAUGCCAUCCCAUUUGUCUUUCUCUUUCCCCUCUCUCCUGACUUGGCUUUUCGUUUUGUCUGGAGUUUUUGUUGUCGUUGCUUUUUUUUCUUUCAAAACUGAGCUCAUCUUGUGAGAGGAGUCGAGGUCAGUCGCCCUAAAUACUGCUGCUCUUGAGAAGCACAGCACGGAUCUGGGGGCUUAGCUCAUCUCAUGUUUCCCAGGAGAGUCAGACCUUCUGCCCAGAGGUGCUUUGGGGUUCACUUGCACACUGGCGCCGGGCUUGGGGUGUGGGUACAUUUCCGCUUUGAUGCCUUAGACUCACUUCUGGUCUCUGGACUCAGCCGAGAACAGGAGAUGGCGAAAUGACAUGUAAAUGCAAUCGAGACCUCUCAAAGGCCCUUGGUGCCCUCGCUCCCUGGAGUGAGCCAUCCUAGGAGAGGCCUCUCCCAUCGUUCUUGCAACUUCCAGGAGUCCGAGAGGGCCAGCUCCAAACCAGUUCCUCCCGCAAGACUCAGUGCGCGCUUACAGAGCAGUGACCCUCCCGAGGGCGCCCUUGCUCCGGGUACCUGAACCAGAAAGGAGCUUCGUGAUGCCCCAGCCUGACUCCCCCACGCCUCUGAGACACCCCCACCCCCAGACUCAGAGCCCUCGCCUCAGAGCCUUCUGUUGACCAUCUCUUUGUUAAAACUUGCAGUGUCCCUCGAGUCCUAGCCAACGUUUGUUCAGUGCUUUCAGCAGGUCAGGCUCAUACCUGGCCCUCUAUGAGCGUGACCUCAAGGAGCCCACAGGCACCCCAUUUGCAGCACCCCCCUUUACAGUUGAUGAGCAAGUUGACUGACCCUCUAAGAAAGUAGCCUGUGUUCAAGGAAAGAAAAUACAACAGUGAUCCGAAAUCCCCAAGUUCUAGUGAAAUUUUUUGUUAAUCAGACCCUUUCCUGAAAUAGGAUUUUGUUUCACUUAUUUAACCAUGCUCCCACUUCCAAUGUGCCAAACGUGUUUAUCCUGUUUUCACUCCGUCUUUGUAAUAAGCCCUGUGACAUCGGCAGUACUAGUCCCUUUACAGGUGAGGCGCCUGGCUCCGCAAGCUGGUAACCCGGGUCACACAGCUAGUAGGGGAGCCGGGCCUUGAACCCGGGUCUGCUCAGCUCCAGAACCGAGCUCGCAGACGCCAGCCUCGGCUGUCUCCUUGGCUGUUUGUGCGAAGAAAAGCCUCGAAGGAACGUCCCCCUGCACCACCCCCGCCCCGUGCGUGGAACCCAGCAGAAGGUCUGUGUGAAGGGGGCGUUUGCAUCAGAUCCAAGCAGCAGGAGCAGGAUUAGUUUGACUUUUAGAGAAAACUCUUAAGCGUGUUUCUUUUGGCUCUUCCUUUCCAGUGUACCAGCUAGCUUUCGUAGUGCUGCUACAACUAACUCUUGUAAGAGGGAGGGAAAAAAGUGUUCUUUUCUUCUUUAAAAAAAAAAUAAUUUUUUUCUUGCUUGUAGUUAAUUCUAUAAAGGCAAUACUAAAGGUAUAUAUUUUUUUCAAAAUGCUAUUUUUUACUGCACUGAGAAAUAUCAUGACACUUCUGGUCUCUGUCAUCAUCUACUCUUUCGGCUCUGGGUAGACCCAGGUGCGGGAUUCACACCAAAUUUGUAAAUAUUGUGUGUGGGUCUGGUGUCCAGGAACUGUUUUCUUUGUGUAAAAAAAAAACAAAAACAAAAACAAAAAAAGGAGGAGAAAGACAAGAUGACUUUUAGAAAGAGGAACAAAAUAAGGUUGUCUUUUGAGAUAACCUCAGACGGAAGGUAGCGGUUUUGUAAACUGAGAAAAACUAGGCAACUUUCAGGAUAUCAGGAAGGAGAGUGUCUUGCCAAGUUUUGAGGUUACUAGUAAUACAGAAGCAUUUUUAUGUUGGUUGAAAGGUGGCAAGAAUUUAGAAAUACUUUAGAUUUUUAAUUUUUUAGGAAACUAUUCUUGCUUUAAGAAACAUCUCAGUUGUUUUGGGUGGGUUUUUUGUUUUCUUUUUAAUUUCAGAAACUUCUUUAUUGACUGGCUCCAGGCUUGUUUGCCUAAAUGCUUAGGUAGUUUACACAAGUUCUAGAACCUUCUAGAACUUUAAUUCCAUUGGAAGCAAACCCAACUAAUCAGAAUUGGUUGGUUUCAAUAGGUAUUCUGGAAUUCUGACAGAGCACCUAAAGAUCUUUCUAAAGAAGGUUUUAGAUACAUUAUCUUACACAAACUGUGACCUGAUGGCAAUAAUUACCUCAAAUGUGGGCAUUCAUCCUGGUUUUAGGCUUUUUUGAAAUCAUGUAGCCAGCUUGAUCUUGGGAUUUAAAAGACUUAGGAACUCUGCAUGGGCUGAAAAUAACAAUUCACUCAUACGCUGGUCAUCGUUGCUUAAGUGAAUUCUGAAAAUAGCUCAUCUUUACCACAAAAAUUAAACCAAGGAAGAGAUUAUUCUCUGUCUUGUAAUCAAAUGUGAUUUUCAAAAGCACAUGUUAAGGAUAUAUGUUUUUAGCUACUGUCAAAUGCUCUGAGCCUUCUAAGAUCUCCAGAGAGUCACAUUUUCAGUAAUUGACUGUGGAUACUUCAGCAUCUUUCUGGCUACAUUUUAUAGUUCACGUGUUUCAUAGUUUACAUUUAAACUGGUACUUUUUAAAGAAAGUUUUUGUUUUUAACUGACAUCUUCAAACCCCAGCCGUUGCCUCUCUAAUCGGAGGCCAUGUCCCCCCAAGGCAGGUGCGAUCUGCCCAUAUGCUGUGUGAGUCCACCGAGAGCAUCUGCCUCCAGAUGGGUUUCCAUGCAAACGAGAGCAGAUGUGAAGGGAUUUCCGGGGGGGAGGGAGGGGGCAGGAAGGGGUGGGUCCACAGCCUGGGCCAGAUGCGAAGAGCUCAUGAUGCUGUGUUGUAUCCAUACGGGUCGUCAGGGCCUUCUCUUGGACAUCUUGGAAGAGACAGAGGAUAGAUACCCGGUUCGUUGAUUUCGUCUUGAUUUGAAUGUUUAAUUUAUUAAUCCAUCUACUGGCUUCCAGUCACCAGGCAGUAGAGGACACUGGGGUUCAGGUGGCCCCAAAGGUACAGCUGCUAUUUCCAGGCCCCCAGCCGCAUGCAGAUUGGUGAUGUGCAGGGGAGAGUCGUGCCCCACCCCCGUGCCGAUAUUCACUGGUUGGGUUUCCAUGUGUCUGCUGUCACUCCUUUCUCCUUCAAAAUAAGUGUCAAAGGAUGUGUCUACUUUUUUUUUUUUUUUUUUCCACUCUUCGUUUUGAAGCCUGGGUCAUUAGGAGAUGGGGGCCUAGAUUUUUUUCCUAGAGGUUGUAAGUGCUGCUGAGCAGGAGGAGGGGGUGGCUGUGGGGGGAGGGGCAGUGAGACCCCCCCCCCCCAGGUAGAGGUCAUGGUUGAGAGUGGACCCCUCCUUAUGCAGGAAGGUACCAGUUUCCCUAAGAGUUUUGGUUCAUUUCUUCUUUUCUCUUGUGCCACAGCCUUAGCACAGAGGACCUGCUGUGAUCUGAAUCACAUUCCUUUAGCAGAUGACACCCUGAAAACUGCAAAACCCUCCCGGGACCAGGGAACUGGUUUUUGUUUGUAAUGCAUUUGCUCUUCCCUUGGGAACUCUGUCGAUAGUAUGUUCUUAAUACAGGUUUUGGUUAGAAACGUCAUUGUAAAAUAUUUUUCAUCUUGCCACUCUGAAUUGUACUCCUGCUUUCCUCUGUGUGGUUUUUCUUUUUUCCUUUGCUUUGAUUAACCAAAUGAAUUUUAUGUCAUUGUCUUUGGGCUAUAAAUUAUAUUUUUAAAAAAUGGAAGUACAGAAAUGGGCUUUUUUUUUUUUUUUUUAAGUAAAUAUGCUGUAUCUGAAAAAGGGCUCUUCCUUCACUCGUAGUUUGCUUCCAGCCAGCCUCCACACGAGCCUCCUGGCACUCCCUCCCCCUUCUUGUUUUGGGUCUUGUCCCCGUGGCCACCUUGGCCUCUCCCCUGCUGUCACCCCAGCCCCACACCCAGGCACCCAGGACUCCCAGGAAGCUCUCAUGAGCCAGGAAGAAGGACCCACUUAGCCUCGUGAGUGGUGGUCUUGCCUCCCUGUCAGAUAUUCACCUGCUUGGUUGAAGGGGCAAUAGAUUUUUUUUUAGUAUUAUUGUUGUUGUUGUUGUUGUUAUUAUUAUUAUUAUUUUAAUAGUUUGGCUCAGGUUAUAAGGAAGAACUUGGGAAAUGGAAAGUGACUUGACCAUGCCCAUCCUUCGUAGCUUUCUGUGACUUCUGAAUGGCACCUAAUGUGUCCCCCCCGCACACACUCCCUCCUCCCUUCCUGCAGGUACUCUUGUUGGCUGCCUCCACCCACUCUCGCUCCCUCUCACUUCUCACCCCAUUCACUGUUGUGUUCCUGCUCAUUUAAAGCUUCCUCCCGUGGCUUUUCCAGGGCACAAUCAUUUCUGGCCCCCAGAGCAUCUCCUCAUCCUCUCUGUGUGCAUUUUUUUAACCAAAUGAAGUAGACCAGGAAGUCAUACUCUGGGGCAGCGGAAGUUCUAGUGUAGUAGAAUCACUGUAUAGAUGUAGAUGUUGAUAUAUAUGUUUGUGUAUAUAUAUAUCAAGCCAAAUUUCUGAUAGGAAAAGUAUAGCUUUACAGAUGAGGAGGAAGAGGCGAUUUGAAAAGCCUGAGUCAGUGUUGGUUGGCAUAUUAGAGGAGCCCUGGACCACAGCCCAGGCUGCAUCUUCGCACGUGGGCCCAAGGCAGGGCGCCCGGCCCCCCGCCACCACCUCGCCACUGCGGAGGCAAGAGGCCCUGCAGGGUGCCACUGCUCUCUCUGGGUCCCCAGCGACAAGGGCAUAGACGAGUGAGGGGAGGCAACACAUCAGGAUGACUGGAAUUUUCCAUCCCGUUUUGCUUCGACCGUGGGUAUUGAGCGGCAGCCUCUGAUAUUCUAUCCCAUUUCCAAAAAUGGUAUCCAUUAGGCCGGAAAGAGAACGGAUCCGUAGAAAUGUUGACCUUGCAGCUGCCCACGAAUUCAGGACACUCUGGACAGGAAGACACACUCCCCAGAACGAGAGCAGGGAAGAGGGGACCGGGGGAGGCUCGGUCCCCGGUCCAAGGAACGUAGCUCCUCCCCAGGGUCGUCUCGCCCAGACCUUCUCUACCAGGUCCCUCCGCUCAGUUACCCUCGGGAAGCCCUGCUCUGUUGUGUUCCUUCACUGUACGGUUUCUGUAAUAAAAAGUGUUAAUCCAUGUUAAUCCUUGUGAAAACUAUUGCGUGCAACAGUAUUUUCUCGUGUACCUCUUUUUCCUAUGUGAAUUGUCCCUCUUUUCUUUUUUUAUUUAUAAAUGUCUACUUUUUUUAAAAGACAAACCAAUGUGUUGUAGGCCUAUAUGUAACCUAUUCCUUAGUCUCAUAUUAUAGGUAUGUUAUAAGAAUGGAUAUUUUACUUGGCUUUAGAAUGUUUUACAAGAAAAAUAAUUCUUAUCUGAUCAAGUCCUUGCUACUAAAAUGCUUGUGUUUUUCAUCAUGACGUCGUGUGCUUCUAAAUUAAUGAUCAUUUUCGUUGUAGAAAAAUGGAGUGAAUUUAUAUUAGUCUUGGAAACUAAUAAUAGCAUUGUAAAUUUAUGAGAUGAUUUUAACAGAAAAAAAAUUAUAGAAGAAUAUAGUUAUUUUAAUUGUAAUAUUACUAACUGUAGGGUGAGAAAGGGGGGUCCCGUCGUGUGAACUAUGUUAUAGCUUGUUACUCACAGUUUCUUUUUGAUCAUUUUUUCGGUCUCUGAGGUGAAACGAGUUAUUAAUUAAAAUUCGUAAACUCACAUAUGCAUAUUGUAUAUGUGUAGAAAUGUAAUCACACUCUGUCUUGGAAUUACAUUAAACUGUUUGGAAUCACUG
RNAcentral lists this long non-coding RNA (7804 nucleotides) under Sus scrofa (pig). RNAcentral's name for it is "lncRNA (ENSSSCG00000055563.1)". Lineage: Eukaryota; Metazoa; Chordata; Mammalia; Artiodactyla; Suidae. The record is from RNAcentral.